UAAGCGAGCGCAGGCGGUUUUUUAGGUCUGAUGUGAAAGCCUUCGGCUUAACCGGAGAAGUGCAUCGGAAACCGGGAGACUUGAGUGCAGAAGAGGACAGUGGAACUCCAUGUGUAGCGGUGAAAUGCGUAGAUAUAUGGAAGAACACCAGUGGCGAAGGCGGCUGUCUGGUCUGUAACUGACGCUGAGGCUCGAAAGCAUGGGUAGCGAACAGGAUUAGAUACCCUGGUAGUCCAUGCCGUAAACGAUGAGUGCUAAGUGUUGGAGGGUUUCCGCCCUUCAGUGCUGCAGCUAACGCAUUAAGCACUCCGCCUGGGGAGUACGACCGCAAGGUUGAAACUCAAAGGAAUUGACGGGGGCCCGCACAAGCGGUGGAGCAUGUGGUUUAAUUCGAUGCUACGCGAAGAACCUUACCAGGUCUUGACAUCUUCUGCCAACCUAAGAGAUUAGGCGUUCCCUUCGGGGACAGAAUGACAGGUGGUGCAUGGUUGUCGUCAGCUCGUGUCGUGAGAUGUUGGGUUAAGUCCCGCAACGAGCGCAACCCUUAUUGUUAGUUGCCAGCAUUCAGUUGGGCACUCUAGCAAGACUGCCGGUGACAAACCGGAGGAAGGUGGGGAUGACGUCAAAUCAUCAUGCCCCUUAUGACCUGGGCUACACACGUGCUACAAUGGACGGUACAACGAGUCGCGAAACCGCGAGGUCAAGCUAAUCUCUUAAAGCCGUUCUCAGUUCGGAUUGUAGGCUGCAACUCGCCUACAUGAAGUUGGAAUCGCUAGUAAUCGUGGAUCAGCAUGCCACGGUGAAUACGUUCCCGGGCCUUGUACACACCGCCCGUCACACCAUGAGAGUUUGUAACACCCAAAGCCGGUGAGGUAACCUUCGGGGAC
Molecule: ribosomal RNA, 887 nt
Filed under: Lentilactobacillus buchneri
Lineage: Bacteria; Bacillati; Bacillota; Bacilli; Lactobacillales; Lactobacillaceae
Description: bacterial SSU rRNA
Rfam family: Bacterial small subunit ribosomal RNA
Source: RNAcentral